UACAGAGGUCUCAAGCGUUGUUCGGAUUCAUUGGGCGUAAAGGGUGUGUAGGUGGCGCGCUAAGUCGGGUGUGAAAUUUCGGAGCUUAACUCCGAAACUGCAUUCGAUACUGGCGUGCUUGAGGACUGGAGAGGAGACUGGAAUUCAUGGUGUAGCAGUGAAAUGCGUAGAGAUCAUGAGGAAGACCAGUGGCGAAGGCGGGUCUCUGGGCAGUAACUGACGCUGAGGAGCGAAAGCGUGGGGAGCGAACAGG
This 253-nucleotide ribosomal RNA is filed under the name uncultured bacterium. Its description in RNAcentral is "partial 16S ribosomal RNA". It matches the Rfam family "Bacterial small subunit ribosomal RNA", at positions 524 to 776 of the family's 1533-position model. The record is from RNAcentral.